RNAcentral lists this ribosomal RNA (485 nucleotides) under uncultured bacterium. RNAcentral's name for it is "partial 16S ribosomal RNA". It matches the Rfam family "Bacterial small subunit ribosomal RNA", at positions 30 to 507 of the family's 1533-position model. The record is from RNAcentral.
AUUGAACGCUGGCGGCAGGCCUAACACAUGCAAGUCGAGCGGAUGAAGGGAGCUUGCUCCUGGAUUCAGCGGCGGACGGGUGAGUAAUGCCUAGGAAUCUGCCUGGUAGUGGGGGAUAACGUCCGGAAACGGGCGCUAAUACCGCAUACGUCCUGAGGGAGAAAGUGGGGGAUCUUCGGACCUCACGCUAUCGGAUGAGCCUAGGUCUGAUUUGCUAGUUGGGGGGGUAAAGGCCUACCAAGGCGACGAUCCGUAACCGGUCUGAGAGGAUGGUCAGUCACAAUGGGAAUGGGACACAGGCCCGAACCCCAACGGGAGGCACCAGUGGGGAACUUUCGAAAAUGGGGAAAAGCCUGCGCCAGACCUGCCGGUGGGUGGUAAAAGGUUUUCGGAUGUUAAACUCUUUUAAGUGGGGAGGAAGGGCAGUUAGCUAAUAGCGUGAUGGUUUGACGGUACCAAAAGAAAAAGCCACGGCUAACUUCGUG